This 349-nucleotide long non-coding RNA is filed under the name Daucus carota (carrot). RNAcentral's name for it is "long non-coding RNA (DCAR_LNC004910)". The record is from RNAcentral. Lineage: Eukaryota; Viridiplantae; Streptophyta; Magnoliopsida; Apiales; Apiaceae.
AUAUAAACACAUAAUAACAUAAUAUACUCAUCAUAUGAACACAAAACACUUAAUCAAAUACCAACAACACAUAACCAAACUGAUUAAACCCUUUUCGAAACAUCAACAAAACUUUUACAAAAUCCAACAUGUAACUCGGAUUACAUAUUUAGACGAGAUAAUAUGAAUACUUUUGGACUCAAAGUAGCAUCAUCGCUCCCGCCGGCUCACCGGAGCUCAUCACCGGCGGCGGCAAAACCCGGAGGUGCCCGAAUCGGGUCUCCAAUCACGGGUUCCACCAAUUAAUAAUCGUUUAAGCCAAAGCCCCAUGCUAAUUUCAUCAAAAACGAAGUAUAUUUUCAGAAAUCAA